This 489-nucleotide ribosomal RNA is filed under the name uncultured bacterium. RNAcentral's name for it is "bacterial SSU rRNA". It matches the Rfam family "Bacterial small subunit ribosomal RNA", at positions 28 to 507 of the family's 1533-position model. The record is from RNAcentral.
GAUGAACGCUAGCUACAGGCUUAACACAUGCAAGUCGAGGGGAAACGACAUCGAAAGCUUGCUUUUGGUGGGCGUCGACCGGCGCACGGGUGAGUAACGCGUAUCCAACCUGCCCACCACUUGGGGAUAACCUUGCGAAAGUAAGACUAAUACCCAAUGAUAUCCCACGAAGGCAUCGGAAUGGGAUUAAAGAUUUAUCGGUGAUGGAUGGGGAUGCGUCUGAUUAGCUUGUUGGCGGGGUAACGGCCCACCAAGGCUACGAUCAGUAGGGGUUCUGAGAGGAAGGUCCCCCCACAUUGGAACUGAGACACGGUCCAAACUCCUACGGGAGGCAGCAGUGAGGAAUAUUGGUCAAUGGGCAGAGCCUGAACCAGCCAAGUAGCGUGAGGGAGGACGGUCCUACGGAUUGUAAACCUCUUUUGUCGGGAGUAACGUGCGGGACGGUCCCGUAUUGAGAGUACCCGAAGAAAAGCAUCGGCUAACUCCGUG